RNAcentral lists this ribosomal RNA (477 nucleotides) under uncultured bacterium. RNAcentral's name for it is "partial 16S ribosomal RNA". It matches the Rfam family "Bacterial small subunit ribosomal RNA", at positions 28 to 507 of the family's 1533-position model. The record is from RNAcentral.
GAUCAACGCUGGCGGCGUGCAUAACACAUGCAAGUCGAACGAUGAAGCUUAAAAGAUUUCUUCGGAAUGAACUUAAUUGGAUUAGUGGCGGACGGGUGAGUAACGCGUGAGUAACCUGCCUUGUACAAGGGGAUAGCCGUUGGAAACGACGAAUAAUACCCUAUGACAUCAAAUAAUCGCAUGAUAAUUUGAUCAAAGAUUUAUCGGUAUAAGAUGGACUCGCGUCUGAUUAGCUAGUUGGUAGAGUAAAAGCCUACCAAGGCAACGAUCAGUAGCCGGCUUGAGAGAGUGUACGGCCACAUUGGGACUGAGACACGGCCCAGACUCCUACGGGAGGCAGCAGUGGGGAAUUUUGCACACUGGGGGAAACCCUGAUGCAGCGACGCCGCGUGAUUUAGAAGGCCUUCGGGUUGUAAAAAUCUUUUGUAUGGGAAGAAAAUGACAGUACCAUACGAAUAAGGACCGGCUAAUUACGUG